RNAcentral lists this ribosomal RNA (1034 nucleotides) under Bacillus sp. (in: firmicutes). RNAcentral describes it as "bacterial SSU rRNA". It matches the Rfam family "Bacterial small subunit ribosomal RNA", at positions 62 to 1078 of the family's 1533-position model. Lineage: Bacteria; Bacillati; Bacillota; Bacilli; Caryophanales; Bacillaceae. The record is from RNAcentral.
UCGAGCGGACAGAAGGGAGCUUGCUCCCGGAUGUUAGCGGCGGACGGGUGAGUAACACGUGGGUAACCUGCCUGUAAGACUGGGAUAACUCCGGGAAACCGGAGCUAAUACCGGAUAGUUCCUUGAACCGCAUGGUUCAAGGAUGAAAGACGGUUUCGGCUGUCACUUACAGAUGGACCCGCGGCGCAUUAGCUAGUUGGUGGGGUAAUGGCUCACCAAGGCGACGAUGCGUAGCCGACCUGAGAGGGUGAUCGGCCACACUGGGACUGAGACACGGCCCAGACUCCUACGGGAGGCAGCAGUAGGGAAUCUUCCGCAAUGGACGAAAGUCUGACGGAGCAACGCCGCGUGAGUGAUGAAGGUUUUCGGAUCGUAAAGCUCUGUUGUUAGGGAAGAACAAGUGCGAGAGUAACUGCUCGCACCUUGACGGUACCUAACCAGAAAGCCACGGCUAACUACGUGCCAGCAGCCGCGGUAAUACGUAGGUGGCAAGCGUUGUCCGGAAUUAUUGGGCGUAAAGGGCUCGCAGGCGGUUUCUUAAGUCUGAUGUGAAAGCCCCCGGCUCAACCGGGGAGGGUCAUUGGAAACUGGGAAACUUGAGUGCAGAAGAGGAGAGUGGAAUUCCACGUGUAGCGGUGAAAUGCGUAGAGAUGUGGAGGAACACCAGUGGCGAAGGCGACUCUCUGGUCUGUAACUGACGCUCAGGAGCGAAAGCGUGGGGAGCGAACAGGAUUAGAUACCCUGGUAGUCCACGCCGUAAACGAUGAGUGCUAAGUGUUAGGGGGUUUCCGCCCCUUAGUGCUGCAGCUAACGCAUUAAGCACUCCGCCUGGGGAGUACGGUCGCAAGACUGAAACUCANAGGAAUUGACGGGGGCCCGCACAAGCGGUGGAGCAUGUGGUUUAAUUCGAAGCAACGCGAAGAACCUUACCAGGUCUUGACAUCCUCUGACAACCCUAGAGAUAGGGCUUUCCCUUCUGGGACAGAGUGACAGGUGNUGCAUGGUUGUCGUCAUCUCNUGUCGUGAGAUGUUGG